AUGCAAAGAUUGAAGGCAAACCUGGAACAUGCACAAAGCAGAAUCAAGCAUUUUGCUGACCAAAAGAGAACAGAGAGGCAACUGGAAGUAGGUGAAUUGGUAUUUCUCAAAAUACAACCCUACAGACAAAAUGCUUUUGGUUUGAGAGGAUCUCUGAAGCAAAGGUCAAAAUUUUAUGGCCCUUACAAAAUUCUGGAACGAAUUGGGCAAGUUUCCUACAAGCUACAGUUACCGGAAGGAACAAAUAUACAUCCGGUGUUUCACAUUAGCCAACUGAAAAAACACAUUGGUCACAGGGCUAUACCACUGCCCCAUGUGCCACUAGUUACACCGGAAGGUAUGUCAAGACAAUUCCCGUGGCAGUGUUAG
This 369-nucleotide ribosomal RNA is filed under the name Triticum aestivum (bread wheat). RNAcentral describes it as "partial small subunit ribosomal RNA". The record is from RNAcentral. Lineage: Eukaryota; Viridiplantae; Streptophyta; Magnoliopsida; Poales; Poaceae.